CAACCAGCUCAGUACUCCCUGAAGGGCACUUUGAAAGAAAGUUCAAUCAAUGGAAGGGUCAAAUGUUUUCUUUUUCAAACGUCCAUUUUGCAUGUAAUGGCUGCUCUGUGCAGACUUUACAGGGUGUUCUUCUCUUGUUCCCAAGAUCUAGGGUCCUUCUGCGCAAAUGCAUGUACCAUGGGUAAGAAAUUACUUCAACUGAGUUUAUUGACAUUUCUUAGAGCAUAUGAGUUCGAAGAAAAUUAUUACAGAGUCUGACCUGACCCUCUGAUACUUCUUGUGGAUGGAACAGAAAACCCUAAAGCAGCGAAAAAAUAGGAGCUUGUCCUUGUUUGAUGGGAGGAACAUAUCAUCAACUAUGAAAUAAAGUUCCCUCUGAGUUGGAAUGGCAAAUUGGAAGGGACAGAGAGAUUAGCUUCCCCUUUAAGAAUCAGUUCUCCAGAAUAACUCCAACACAGCCUCUAGUAGUGAGUCAGGAUUUGGCAGUGGACAUGGCCUGUAAAACACCCAGCACAGAGCCUGGCUUACCGUAGCACGUAGCACUCGUUUUUGGUGUUACACAGCACAUCAAUAAUCAUCUUUGUAUAUAUAUCGUUGUGUAUAUAUACAAGUAGAUCUACAGUAUAAAUUCUUGGAGCUGGGGACUGCUGAAUCAAAAGAUAUAUGGAUUCUAGAAGCUGAUAUAUAUUGCCAUGUGUCUCAUCAAACUGGUUGCAGAAAAGAGGACCAGAAACUUUGAAGAAUACCUGAAACAUUGUUGAUGUGGAAGAAAAUAUGCUGUAUAUAUCCAGGUCCUGGUUUUGUGCCUGGCCCAUGAUAGCUAUUCAAGAAAUACUUGUGAAUGAACAAACUAAGAGUGGCCAAAUGUGAACCCAAGAGUCAAGGAAAGAAAGGAGUUUGAGUCUGUUGGAUGGUGCAAGUUGGAAGACGAAGAGGCUUCAGGGACAGAAGAAUGGGCCCUGACCAGGAGAGUGCCUCCUUCCUGUAGCAGCUAUAAAAAGGCAAGGUCAUCUGAACUCACUGUUGGCAAUGUGCCUUGAGUCACACUGUAGUCAUUGCUCAAGCAUCUGAAAGGGUCCAAAGUGCAGACAUUAAAACAUAA
Long non-coding RNA from Canis lupus familiaris (dog), 1102 nucleotides. RefSeq lists it as uncharacterized. The transcript is spliced from 6 exons. The record is from RefSeq and is a predicted model, not a curated record. Lineage: Eukaryota; Metazoa; Chordata; Mammalia; Carnivora; Canidae.